UGAGCCCGGGAAGCAGAAGUUGCAGUGAGCCUAGAUCGGGCCACUGUACUCCUGCCUGGGAGUCAAGAGACCCUGUCUUAAAACAAAAACAAAAAAAUCUAUUGAGAGCUGACUGAGCCAGCCACUCUCUGGGCCCUAGGGAUACAGCAGAGAAACAAGCAAACAAAACCACAGGCUCUCCUAGAGCCUAUAUUCUAGCUGAGACGUACUCCCGAGAAAACAAAUCACUCAAAGAGAGAGUUGGUGGGACUUAUGAUUCCAAAUAAGGUGCUCAGGAAAGGGCUCACAGAGUAAGCAUGUGAAGUCUAAGCAAGAAUCCGCAGGAGAUAAGAGCACAUGGCCACAUCCACAGAAGAUCAUUUGGUAAUUUUAUUUACUAUUUCACUAUUUGGGCAGCUAUUAUAACUACAUGUAAAUGAAUAUCAAAGAUGAUUAAUAUUAAAGCGGAGAGCAGGUGCACACUGGCAGUGCAAGGAGAGGGCAGCACUGCCCCUGCUGGAUGGAGGCUCCAGGAGGUGAGCGCAUCAAUCUCCAGGUUGUGAUCUGACUUCUGCUUCUCCGGGAGCUGACAAAGCCCCUCCUGAGGAAGUCGUGAGCAAGAUCUUGGAGUUUUGGGAAACACAGGGCUCAGCAUAGUCAGGCACCAGGCAGGGCCAAGGUGGGGACCAGGCGCUGGACCUGCAGUGGAAAUACAGUCAGAGCAAGGGGGCUGCCCUGUACUUCCUGUUUCUAAGCUCACCAUGGCCUGCCUUCACCUCUCGGUGGGUUGCACUGCUGCAGUAUGGCUCAGUUGCCCUCCACGUCUGGUGCAGAGCCGCCACCCUAGGAUCACUUCUCGCCAUCCUCUGUGGGCCUCCCAGGCCAUGUCUACUGUGUUGGGCUCCUGUUUGCUGUAUCUGUGUCUUACUCUUUCAUGAUUUAGUCUUUCAAUUUGGUGGAACACAUCUUCCAGUAGCUUCUUGAGAAGGAGUAUGACAUUUAAAUUUUUUAAACCUUUUUCGGCCAGGCACAGUGGCUCAGGCCUGUAAUCCCACCACUUUGGGAAGCCGAGAUGAGUGGAUCACUAGAGGUCAGGAGUUCAAGACCAGCCUGGCCAACAUGGUGAAACCCCUUCUGUACUAAAAAUACAAAAAUUUGCUGGGUGCGGUGGCUCACGUCUGUAAUCCCAGUACUUUGGGAGGCCGAGGCAAGCGGAUCACUUGAGGUUGGGAGUUCAAGACCAGCCUGACCAACGUGGAGAAAUCCUGUCUCUACUAAAAACACAACAUUAUCCAGGCGUGGUGGCGCAUGCCUGUAAUCUCAGCUACUCGGGAGGCUGAGGCAGGAGAAUCGCUUGAACCCAGAGGCGGAGGUUGCAGUGAGCAGAGAUCGCGCCAUUGCACCCCAGCCUGGGCAACAAGAGCAAAACUCCAUCUCAAACAACAACAACUAGCCAGGUGUGGUGGCAGGCGCCUGUAAUCCCAGCUACUCAGGAGGCCUAGACAGGGGAAUUGCUCAAACCCAGGAGGUGGAGGUUGCAGUGAGCCAAGAUCAUGCCACUGAAUUCCAGCCCGGGCGACAGAGUGAGACUCCAUCUCAAACAAACAAACAAAAAACAAAAAAAAAAAAAACAAAAACACCUUUUUCUCACUUAUUCUUGUUGUAUAGUUAGGCUAGGUACAGAAGUCCAGGUUAGUAAUCACUUUCCUUCAGAAUUUUGAAGACAUUGUUCCAAUUCUCUUUUUGCUUCCUAUGCUGCUGCCAUGAAGUCCAAAGACAUUCUGAUUCUUGAUAUGUGACCUGGUACCCUCCCAUCCAGAAGCUUGUAAAUCUUUUCUAUCAACUCAAUGUUCAGAAAUUCCAUGCCUGGUGCAGGUCUAUUUUCUUCCCUAGUGCUAGGCACAAGUACACAGUUUUAAUCUGUUGGCUCAUGUGCUUCUGUUAUCAACUAUUUUAUAGGUCACUUCCCACCUUGUUUUCUCUCUUCCUGUAAUUCCUAUUAUUCGGAUGUCGGACCACUUACACUGGUCCUUAAAUUUUAUUGAUAUGCCUUUAUUAAACAACUCUUAUAAUAUUGUUAGAACAUUUUUAGGGCAUGUGGUUUAUAAAAUCACAGUUUCUGUCUCACUUUUCAAAAACUGUGGUCAAAGGCACAGAACAUAAAAUUUACCAUCUUAACUUUUUAAAGUAUACAGUAGUCGGCUGGGUGCAGUGGCUCAUGGCUGUAAUCCCAGCACUUUGAGAGGCUGAGGUGGGUGGAUCACUUGAGGUCAGGAGUUCGAGUCCAGCCUGGCCAACAUGGCAAAAUCCCAUCUCUACUAAAAAUACAAAAUUAGCCAGGCGUGGUGGCAGGCACCUGUAGUCCCAGCUACUCAGGAGGCUGAGACACAAGGAUCGCUUGAAUCCAGGAGGUAGAGGCUGCAGUGAGCCAAGAUAUCACCACUGCACUCCAGCCUGGGCGACAGAGUGAGGCUCCAUGUCAAAAAAAUUAGUAAAUAAAGUAUGCAAUAGUGUUAACCAAAUGCACAUUGUUGUGUAAGUAGAACUUACUCAUCUAGUUAUAUCCAUGAACAACUCCCCUAUCUCUUCCCCGAGCCCAUGACAACUACCAUUCUACUUUCUGUUUCUAUGAGUUUAUUUUAGACAUCUCAAAUAAGUAGAAUCAUGCAAUAUUUAUUUUUUGUGACUGUCUUAUUUCACUUAGCAUAAUGUCCUCAAAGAUCAUGUUGCAGCACAGAACAGUAUUUC
This 2727-nucleotide long non-coding RNA is filed under the name Homo sapiens (human). RNAcentral's name for it is "HSALNT0098873". The record is from RNAcentral. Lineage: Eukaryota; Metazoa; Chordata; Mammalia; Primates; Hominidae.